Molecule: ribosomal RNA, 279 nt
Filed under: Streptomyces rochei
Lineage: Bacteria; Bacillati; Actinomycetota; Actinomycetes; Kitasatosporales; Streptomycetaceae
Description: partial 16S ribosomal RNA
Rfam family: Bacterial small subunit ribosomal RNA
Source: RNAcentral
GUUGGUGAGGUAACGGCUCACCAAGGCGACGACGGGUAGCCGGCCUGAGAGGGCGACCGGCCACACUGGGACUGAGACACGGCCCAGACUCCUACGGGAGGCAGCAGUGGGGAAUAUUGCACAAUGGGCGAAAGCCUGAUGCAGCGACGCCGCGUGAGGGAUGACGGCCUUCGGGUUGUAAACCUCUUUCAGCAGGGAAGAAGCGAAAGUGACGGUACCUGCAGAAGAAGCGCCGGCUAACUACGUGCCAGCAGCCGCGGUAAUACGUAGGGCGCAAGC